UUCCUCUUAGGUGAGAAUCACAAUUGGUGAUAGCUAUGCUGAGUUGCUUUUCUCCUCUCUUUACAGAGGUGGCCCAUCUUCUGCUAUGGUUUCGUUCGUUUGCUUUAAAAGAAACCACUGUGUUCUCAUUUCUUUUGCUAUAAACUAUCUUUCUUCUUAACAAGUGGUCCUCUUCCAUUUUUAUCACUGUACAGACAUAAAGCACCUAUUCUGUCAGUGGAAAUAACAAAUGCAGUAACCUGUUGGCCAGAACAAGUGGACGCUGGUGACAAGUAUUGAAUUACCAUGCCUAGAAUAUGCAUAUUUUUUUCAUGAUAUUCAGGCUUAAGAAGGGGAAAAUCAAGACCGUAGCACAGCUGCAGUACCGUGAAACAUUGCCACAGUAGAUAUUAUUACCUGUAAAGUUAACAAGGUUCUUUAAAUGCUUUUUAAAGUGAUAAAUGGUUUUAAUUUAUUUAGAAGCUACAGUAAAACAUAAUGGCUGAAUAACCUUAUGCGGCAUUUGAAAUUAAAAACAUGCAAAUGCCACUGUGGUUUGGGAGGUAUUUGUUUUACACCCUUUGCCUAGGACGACUGAUUUAGAAAUUGAAUGUGUGUGUAUAUGUGGGUGUGGGUACGUGCGUGCACGCAGGCUGAUGUUCACAGCUCGUGCUGAGAAUUCAGGCAUUUGAGAAGGCAAGGUGAGCACGUGUCAAGCAGUGUAUUUGUGGCUUAGGUUUUUGGGAUUGUUGUGUUUUGAGAGUAGCUAUUUAGAGAGAGUAGAUGCUAGUUGCUGACUUCACCUGAGCAGCUUGCUGCAUUGCUUAGGCGAAGUCCAGCUGAUAGUUUCACAGCUCUUAACAUCUUUUACUGGGAGAGUCAUCCAGCAUGACUCAGUUUGGUUAUUGCUGUCAGGGUGCUGCGUGCCUGAUAUCCUGGGUUGAGGUGACACCCAGCUGAUAACAAAGGGAUGGUUCUGUUCCUACUUAGCAGUGAUGCAUCCUGAUGAAAACAGAGCUAUGAAUAAAUGAUGGUUUGGUGAGACAAAGGGGCUUGAGGUUUUGGUUGACUGCAGGACAGAUCAGCAAGGGAAAAAAUGUCUAUGAGAAAUGGAUGCCUGGAUUACUUUCCAAAAGAUCCAAGAAGUGUCGUGGUCCAAAUAUUUCCUACUGCCAAGGAGCCCUUCCAUGGUGAAGUCAAGCGAAGAAGGAAAUCUGCAGUCAGUUCUCUUAAUAAGCAGGAAAGUCUGAGGUUGAGUUGCAUGGUAGGCAGGGCACACAGCAAAGUAGGAUAAAAUGGUUUAUUUUGAGAUAGAAACAACAGCAAGAAGCACAGCCAUGUUAGAUCCGUUCUCUUCUUUUCUGGAGAGCUGGGGAGAUGACUGGAGUCAUCAAAUGGAAGUGGAAGCCCGCAACUCCUUUCCAAAUGCUGUGUAAACCAUUCUGUUCUGCUCCAGCCUGGUAACUUAGCACAUUUAGGCGUGAAGCAAGUGAGCUGCGACUAAAUGGGAGGAAAGGCAGCUUGAGGUUUAGGGUGGAGGAGGAACUAGCAGCAGUGAGAUGAGAAAGAAGAGUCGUGGGGUCAUGGAGGAAGAGGAGCACAGAAGGCACCUUCAGCUCGGGAGUGGGCAGGAGGAGGAGAGCAGCUUCACUUUAGCAGAGAUGAUAUUUCAGCCCACAUUCAAAAGGGAGAGGUGUGGGUAGCAGUCCUGAGGGGAAAACUGAUUGCAGCAAAAUGAUGUGAGGUUGGAAGCCAGGAUGGGAACAUUAGAUGAAACUGGAUUUAUUGGGCAGGGAGAGGAGCAGAGCAACAGCACCAAGGAAUGAGUUUGCAGCAGUGAUGUGCUGGGAGACGUCAGGAGUGUGCCCAUGGGUCCAUCCAGAAGUGACAGGACUGUGCAGGGGACAUGGUACACCUCAGUCCCCUAGUUGGCUGAAGACAUCAGUGAUGUCAAGUAGGUAUGUGUGUGGCACAGGAAGGUACCAUUAUUUAAUCACAUCUAGCAGAUCUUCAGGCCCUCUGCUAUGGCUCUAUUUCCAGUGGGUUUCAUGAGGACAGUGACGGUGUACCAUGGGCAUGUGUCAUUGGGUGUUAUCCAUUGAUACAAUGAACUACAGCUAGUUGCUCUAGUUGAUUAUACAUCUUUCUGUGCACAUAACUAUUAUUCCCACCUGAUUUUUCACUCUUACUUACAAUAACAGCAUGUAGGUUGAAAGCUGCAAGUUCAUGUAGGAUAAGCUAUGACUCCAGUUUUCCUUAAUGUGUGUGGCAUAAUACUGUCAGAAAACACUGGGAGUUAGGGACCAGUGGAACAAGAAGUUGUUACUGCAGCCUUUAUUAAGUAGGUAAAUUGAAGGGAGAGAGUAGUAUAAGACUGAGACUAGGUUCUAGGUUCUGGAUUUAACGUUUAUCCGACAGGAAUCUUCGUGCCUUUCUUAUAUUCUUUAAAGAAUAUGUAAGUUCCGUUAUGUUUAGUAUAAGAAUAAUAAGUGGGGAUAUUUGGUGUAGAAAUGGUUUGGUGAUGGACUGGGUGAAUUCAUUUGACAGUUGGACUUGAUGGCUUUGGAGGUCUUUUCCAGCCUAAAUGAUUAUGUUGCAUGUUGUCAGUUGUGCUAAUGUAGCAGUAACGCUUUCUGUAAAGAUGGUAGUAAUCAAAUGAUGUGUAUUUUUUCACAAAAACCCUUGCUUGUAUCCUCAUCUGGGGCUCCUGAGGAGGCAGCUCCUUUGCAAACAGCCCAACAACCAGGAGUUUUUUUUUCUUUAUUCGUUAUUCGUUCUGUCUGUUUAAUCAGUGUCUUUGCUCCCUUCUGUUCUUCUUUGAAGCCUAUUGAUCCUUGCUAAUGAACACACGAAUCCUUCGCUCAGCACAGCUGAGAGCACUCAUUCCUUUGGAAGAGAAAUCUUUACCUUAAGUUUGCAUAGCUUUCUUUAUUCCGAGGACUCGUACUUGAUAGAGGCAGGGUUUGUUUUGAAAGCUGGAGACGUAUCGGCACAGUGUGUGUCUGUGCCUUCACUUGUGUGUUCUGGCCCCUCUCAUUUUCCUGGCUCCCCAGACUACUUAUCAGACUUAAGGCGGUUUUCACUCUUUUCAACAAAUACCAGCUUGUUCAUGUUGAUCAUGCUUGUGAGAUGAAAUUUCAUUUUAGCUAAUAAAUGAGUUGGUGGGGUUUUUUACCCUCAAAUCCAAUAGAAACAUGCUUGAUCUCGCAGUUUCCAUGCAUUUUUAACUGUUCUCAGUGUAAUACAUGUUUUAGAAAGUAGCAUCUGAAAGUCGUGUGAAGGAUGUUUUCUUGAAUUUUUCCAUUAGUUGCAUGAGGAAGAUGGCUGUUUCGGUGGCAUUUUUGCUUUUGGAGUCUGGGCAACCGGGGAGUUUUCAUCUUGUUUAUUCAUUUACCAGUUUAUUUUUGUUCUUCAGUACUUACACUCCCUCCUUAGGAUCUGGCUAUUAGCAAUUAUACCCCUUACUGAUUUUAUCCUUUUUCAUUAUCAACUUAGCAAGAUUUUUUUUUCCCAAGCACUUUAAAGAAUAAGUGGAUGUGGAUGAGCCACAUAUCUAUGUUAUAUAUUCAUGAAAAUUGUCAGUGAUGACACUGACAGAUCUGAUAGACCUACUCGAUAAGACAGUCUUCCAGACCAGACAAAGUUACCUCUAUGAGCAUUGAUUAGGUAAGUCUCUGCAGCCACACAGUGGAGUUGGCAAAAGGUGUUUUAGGCCAUGAUGAUCUCCUUGGGUGAAAAUGCACACGCAUAGACAGUCAUUUUGAGCUGUGUUCUUGGGUUGCUUGCUAACAGAUGGCUGUGUUGUCAAAGCAAACUGAACUCUCCACCAAAAAGGGCAACAUCCAUCUGUGUCAACACAUCGCCUGUCCUUGGCUGGGCCAGGCCUGUGGGAUGGAGGCCACAAAAUGAUGGCAGAUUCUCUGCUCCAAAGAUAAAGAAGGGUCUUGGACCGUGACUUUUCCAAAAUAAAUACCAUGUAAUAUUUGUGUUUGAAGGAAGAAAAAUAUCCUAAAACAUGGCUAAACUCCAACACUCUAUACCAUUAUCUUCUAAUUAUUUUGAAUGGGGGAAGAAAUGACAUCUAUCCAAGAAACUGUGAGUGGCUUACUGAUCCAGAACAUGUAGGAAGCACUACUGGGUUGAUGCGUGCCUUCCUUCACAGGCCCCCUACCUUCAGUCACUGUCCUCAUCAUCUGUAACCGUGCCUGAGUAAGGGCCAAGAAUUAGAGCAGCAGAAACUAAUUUCUGUACAGAGCGUGACUUUUUUUUUCCAGUCUCAGGAAUAAAGUAGGGAAUGCUGAGUACAUUAUUUCUCCAGAUUAUAAUAUUUUGCAAGUAGGUUAAAUUUUGAGUGUAAACCACUUGACAUUGUCCCUUUAAAUUACAUUUUGAGUCUACUACCAUGUCAGCCAGAUGUAAAACUGGUGAAGAAUAAUAAUAAAGCCCCAGAGCUUAGCUGUGGCAUAUAAACUAUUGUGCAGUUCUGCUCUGCCUUUGUGAACCAGGCUUUCCUUUCUCCUUAAUGGAAUUAGCAAGUGAGACAUAGAGCUGAACACCGUGCAUCCAUCACAGAUAGAGAUUCAUAAAAGCACUAGGAGAAUUGCAUCCUUGCAUAUAUGGAUUUACUUGGCUUUCAGUGCAGUAGGCUCUAUGUCAGAGGUUGUCACUGAACAGACAGAUGAGUUAGGGAAUGUCCUUGCUUUUACAGCAAAUCACUUAAAAAUUCAGAAAAAAAAUUAAGAAUAUAUUGUACUGUUUUUGACAGCUGUGUGGUAGCAGGAAUGCUGGCUGGCUGCGGCUGCUGCCCACACUCCCACACAUUCUUGGCAUUUGUGAGUACAAGAAUAAACCAGCUGAUGCAUUUGUUAAAAAUGCAAGGCAUUUAAAUGUUGCUAGGAUUGCUCGCUGCAUUUACUAGCGCAGUUAAAAUGCACAUCUGGUUUACUCAUAGUGAGAAUGCACAAAAGGUGACGUGUAAGCUCUUCAAAACUAUGAACUCUAAGACUAGACUUAGAAGUUGAACUACACAUUAUCUAAGUAAGACUGUAAAAUGUGUAAGAAAAAUAUAAUUUGGGAUUCUUCUGAAUGAUUUUCAAAGGCCAAUAAGAGAUUACUGUGCUCUGAUAGCGCCCUGCUCUCUGUCUCCUCUGCCGCCUUUCUGCUUCUCCAUCGUUGGUGAUAUCCAGAAGGAAAUGAAAAAGUGAAGAUAGAGGCCAGCUGGUAGGUUAAUAAAUCUCACUGUCAGCUACGUUUGAGCUCAAGUCUGACUGGCCAGCAAUGUCAGCUUGGUCCCCGAACCUUCACUUGUCCUGGGAGCUCUUUGAAAUGAAAAAUUGCAGCUGCUUCUUUUUGUCAUCUAACUCCUGGUUUUCAAAUGGCGUGGUGCAGAAAGUCCCACUCUGGCAUUUUUCUCUGUCAUCGUGAGGACCAGAUUAUUUCUUUCUAACAUAGGAAAAUCUGGAGCAUUAAUGUAAUAGUCUUGGUACUGGCAGUAGUUCGGCAUAGUGUUCUUACACAGAGCAGUCUGAAGUUCAUCUUUAAAUCCUGAGAGUUCUCCUUUACCUUUGAAUUGUAUUUGGUAAGCUGGAUAAAUAUGCCUCAUUUUUGGGGGAAUUUUUGGUCUUGCGUUUUUUAUUUGUUGUUGUUGUUGUUGUCUGCAUGGUUUUCUAAUGAGAGAAAUUGCACCUUUUCAUUACUUACAAUUUCCUGGUGUCGUGCUCAUGGAACCUGUAAUUGUUAGCAUUAAAACUGAAAUUGGGUCUCAGGUGAACUGUUAGACAUCUCUUUAGUGAGAUUUACGCAGCUCAAGGAAAAAAACAAGAAGAGCAUUUCCAUUUGUGCCUUUAAAGCGUAGCCCUUAAUUUAGUCAGUAAUGAAUGUGAAUCAAAAGUUGCGGAAUUGGUUUGUGCUUUUUUCCCCCUCUCGUAAACAAAUCCAGUAAUGUUGUGGAUGAGCAUUAGAAUAAAAGCUAUUUCAUUUGCGCAGAAGGGCAGUAGCCUGAAAAUAUGUAUGCCUAGGCAAAGAAUUUUAUCUGCAGGGAAUGAAUGGGAACAAGUGCUUGCAGCACCAGGGUGGACGCGGGCUGCCUAAGAGCCAUGAGGUUGGAUGAGGCUAUUCCUGUUCCUGCUCCACUGAAAUAUUUAAAGCCUUGGUUGUGAAUUGAGGUGUCAAGCUUUGUCAGGGGUCAUGGGCAGGAGAAGAGUUUGUAAUACAAGUUUGUUUUCCUAUCAGUUUGCAUCUGAACCUUGUAAGACUCAUAAAGCGUGUUCCAAACCCUGUCUUAUACUUUGCAAAGAACCUGGUGUGUUCUUUCUGCCUUUAUGCUGUCAUGUAAGCAGUUUCUAUAUGUUUUGUCUUGUUUGGAUUGCAGAAAUCUUCCUGAGCAGUCCAAACCUUUCAGUACCCACUGAUCUUUUUGUCCUCUGCUCCAUAUCCAUGGUUUUGCAUCAGAGGAGUGAGCAAAGAAAAUAAGAAGCUUUCCUAUUUACACCUGAAAAUGUGAUCCCUAAAACUCAACACAACUGGAAGCAGACCUGAUUUCUCAAGCUGUCCUUUACCUUCUUUCUAAAUAAGGCCACUAAAGAGAUAGAUCUGUCUGGACUUUGGGGGGAGUUUCUCUCACCCUCAGUCCCAUCAUUCCUCUGGGCUCCAAGCGCUUUCAUCAGCUCUGGCUGUCCUUGAAGGGCUGCUCGAGGUGGUGCCCAGCAGCUGUUUGCCAUCCGCAGCGCUCAUUUGAAUUAGUUGAUGGGUAUGAAGAAGUACUGUGGUGUAUUUUUAUGCAGAGAAGCUCUAUUUUAGGCCUCUGAAAAUGUGCCUUUAGGAGGGAUUCUUCCCAAGGAUUUGAGAGUUAAAGUUAUAAUGAGCUGCUGGAAUAUCCAUUUUCAGGAGACAUCAACAUUUAAGUAUUCGUAUUUGAUCUAGUCUGAAAUGUAAGAAAAAUAUUUUGAAAUAUUCAUAGAACUGAAUUUCCUCAGAAUUUUAUUUCAUAGGAUAUUUUGGCAUUCUUUAUGAAAUGUUAGAUAUCAAAAAUCAUGAGAUGAAAGCAUGUGACGGCUGUGAAAAAUAAGUUGUAUGUUAAGGCAAGUCGCUACUCAGAACUGACUGAAACAUCUUUUCCAGAAGGAGUAUCAUCGUGUCAAAUUACAGUACAAGCAGAAGAUAAUUUGCUCAUUUCGACACGUGAAAUGGUAACCUGAGCCUAGAGAUAGAUAAGACUUUAAUAUAGGCGUAGGAAUUGCAUAUGUGUCUGGUCGGAGGAAAAGAGGUUUGUUUAGGGAAGGAAAGAAAGUAAUGAUGUGUUUAUUUUCAGUAGACCUUUGGGCUGUGGGGGGGGAAAGUAGCAGUUUUUGCUUGGUUUCAUGUAUUUUGGUUAAGAAAACAAAGGCAGACAUGGUAUUCAAGCCUAUAGCAAGGGGUUGAAACUAGGUGAUCUUAAAGGUCCCUUCCAACCCAAACCAUCCUAUGGUUCUAUGGUCUGCUUUGCUGACUUGAAUUUUGAGUGGUUCCACUGGUUUUCGUUGAGCAUGUCUGCUAAAACCCACUUCUGGUACUUGCUGUUCAAGCUGUGCAGCAUGCGUGCUUAUGCUUUUCGUAUUUCCACACAUUCUGUGUAUUAGAUGCUGAAAUGCUCAGUGAAAAGAACUCGUGGCUUAAGCAAAAUGGAUACCCCUGAUAGGGAGUAGGCAAUGCUGUGGAGUAUGUGGCAUUUUGCAUAUCAGCUCUCCUUUUUGCACUGCCUCUUUCCAAAGAAGCAUUGCUGCAUGUUCAGGUGGUGGAGGUGCACAUCUGGACCAGCAAGCAGGAGCAAGUGCUGUUAAAAAGCAAGACUGGUAAAGCAGCAUCCACUUGCAUAGCAAGGUGACUUCUUCCCCGCCGAGGCUGUCAUGUAGCCUGUACCCAUCAGCGUUAGGUUGGCUUGAAGCUCCCCUCCUGGAAUGCAACAGCUGUAACCAAAAUGUGCUGUUAUGUAAGCAGUGGCAGCUCAUCUCGUAAUUUGAUGGGCGCUGAAUUGAAAUGCAGUUCUUUGCCCACCACUGUUGUGUGUUUUAGACAGCAUUACAUAAUGGCAAAAAUAGUUUGCGGGGGGUGGGGGUGGGGGGGAUGGUUGGAAAUAAAAACCCUUUCCUGUGGUUUUAAUCUCCCUCUUUCAUCUGUGGUUUAAAGCUGUGUCAGGUGUACAUUGAAAACACCCUCUCCCCAGGGUAUUUCAUUUACAAUUUCAUUUCAUAACGGAAGCAUACUUGCAUCUAGUUAGGAUGGGAAAGGAUUAAGUAUAACAUGUUCUGAAGCCAAGUGGUGUACAUCUUUCCUGUCUGUGUGCUCUGCAAAUGAAGUAGCCAGGGAAGGGCGUGCUGUUGGUCGAUAAUACCCAAACUGAUAAACUGUUAGUGUUUUGUCUGGCAUCAUGUAUGCUAAACAUCUUCUGCUGUGGCCCGCCUCAACUAGAGCUGCCACUGGGCUCAGGCACAUCUGGCGCUGCAGAUUUUUUUUUCCUGUCCUGUGUUUCAGUGAUUUAAAGGGCCUUGGCUGGGCGGGAGGAUGUCAGCUGUUUUAAGUGUGGUUAGAAGAGGGAGUGAGAUUUAAAGAGGCAGGAGGUAACAUUCUGGCCUCGUUGAGGCUAAUGGGAGAACGGCCGCUGAAUUUAAAUGGCUUUGUGAUUUCUCUGGGCCUUUUUAAUCCAUCUUUGUUCUUAUUAAAUUUUCAAUUUCUAUAAAUUGCGCUUUUUCUUUUUUAUUUUAAUCCGUUCAGCUUCUCCCCCUUAGAAUAUCAGUGCCAGGGGCAUGUGCUGAGAUAAAGUGUACCAAUCCUGCUAUUUAAACAAAUGCCAUCCCUGCAGCUCCCUUCUGCUGCAGUUAUGUAGGGCACUAAUAGAGGUGUGUAAAAAUAGUGAGUGCAGGUAUUUGUUUGUACAAGUGAAUCUCUUGAUAGACUUCCGUGGCUGUGCUUGUCCUUGUGACAGGCAGUGAACCUCAGGAUGUGAAGAAGCUCUGCCUUUCUCUGUGCUAACAAAUAGCCAUAUGAGGUCUCUACUCAUGACCCAUCUGGUUGUGUCUCAGAGUAUUGGUGUGGAGAGGCUUUCCACAGAGAUUUGAAUGGGAGAUAGACAUCCCAGGGACACCAUAACAAACUGGGGGUCAACUGCCACAUCUUGUUUACAGAUUCUUUUAGGGGCACUUUCAGCUCUUGCAGCUGGUGGUUGGUGUGCAGCAAGUCCUCUAGCAGUGGGCAGUCUCCUUGCCGCAUCUCAAUGAUAGACCUUUAUCAUUUGAAUAACAGAAUAUUUGUUAUUCAAGUCUGCAGUUUACGUGCCGGGAUUGGCUCCUUUUGCUGCAAAACCAGCAACAAGCAGAGGUUUGGGGCUUGGUCCUACUAUUGUCUUCUCCUGUGUUUCUGUGAUUUCAUGGUUUAGUGACAGAUGGGAAAUGUAGCAUAUUUUUGAUAAAUUAGAUAGAAGAACAUGGAAGUUUCUGCUGCAGUGGCAUUUUAUAUUGUUGUACUGUUUUCUUCUAUACUUAAAACUGAGAAUAGUUAGGGAUGUCUUUCCAGCUUCAGACACGGGAAAGGAAACAUACCAAACUCCUCAUUUACCCAGUGGGAAUUUCUAACGUAUGGUCUAUUAAAAGCUGAACAGGCACUAAGGAUUGCAGCAGCAGAACGGUGCAGAUACAGAAAGCCAAGUUGUUGGCUGUGUGAUCCUAUUGCCAUCACCUUUUUAUGAAGCAGGAGUCGGGGGAGAUGGGUGAAUGGAGGCCAGCAAACUGCGGAGGAUUCAUUUCUCCUAAGUAAUGAUUGCUGUUGUCUAACAUGCAAAUAAAAUGUAUUAAUUUCUCCAGCUAACCUGAACAAAAGCAGUGACAAGCUAGGCUCUAUCCAUGCUUUUCAGUCUACAUUGGGCUUCUCUCUUGAAUAGUCUUUGGUCAUUCAGGGUCAUGUUCUGGUAACUGAAAUAACUAAGGUUUGCACAAGGGAUAUGCAAGGUACGUGGUUCAAGAAGCAUUCAAAAUACCGUGAAGAGGAGCUGGGCUUUUUUUGCUUCAGUCUCCUGUUUUCUUACACAUCGUUGCCCAAAAUUCUGCAGUUCUUUGUUCAGUUUCCUGGAUUAAUUCUCUUGGGCAGAAUGUUCUUGCAAGCACGGAUGUUGUGUUGGGAAAGAAGAAAAAGGACGGAAGGGAGCUGGUGGGUGUUACAUGCCAGCACGGCAGCACCUUAUAGAUAUAAGCCCUCCUGUGAAGGAGAAAAGCAGAAUAUUGUUUAGAGUAAUCAAAAUGGACUAUAAAGUUAUUGCAAAACUAGCGAUGUGGAACCUUCGGGUUGUCAGAAGUGUUGAAGGAAACACUGUGAGGCCAAAAUGCUGUCCUUGUCUAGUCUGUCACACACCAGGGCUAACCUUUCCAUCUGCAUGCCACCCGUCAAACCUCUCUGGCAGGUUUGCCAUUCACACUUGCUCUCAAUCGUAAUUUUCUGAAAGCUUUGCUCGAAGCAUGCAACCAAACAGUAAAUUCUAGCAGCAUUGUGCUGGCAGGCCUAAAAAUAAAUCAGAGACCUUUUCAAAUAGUGCUUCGUGCCAUCCAUUGAUCCCAGUGGAAAACAAUCUCAGACCUGGAGUUCCUAUUGGAAGUUAGGGGACAGCCUGGUAACUGGAUUAAGGUAUGCUUUUGUUUGCAGCAGCGUCUCAAAAUGAAGCUCCUGCUUUGUUGCAUUGAUUGUCUGCCUGGUCUUUUUGCCAGUAAAAGCCACUCACAUCACUGCUGAGACGGGAUGAGGUUUCAUAGAAAAUAUACCGCCAUGCUGUUGCAUAGUGUGUGUGUGUUCCUCUGAAUGUAAUCAGGGAAACACAGCGGAUAAGUACACCUCAGCACUAAUGCAAGAGUGCGCUUUGUUAAUCCGCAGUUAAAUUGCCUAAAAGCAGUUUUCAGCAACAUGGUCCUGAAAAAUUGGAAGAGUCACUAGUUGCGUCAGUGCUAAAACUCCUGCCAGCCCCCUUCACAGGUGCCAGAGCUGGAACUGUUAAGAGCUGCAUGGUGGCCCACCAAGCCAAAUCCCCUGGGUCCUGAGAGCAUCAUCUUUCCCUUCUUUCAUCCUAAGAAGGAAAAGGUGCAUCCUUGGUGGACAGACAGACCACUGCAACCCUUUAUUUCUAUAUGGGCUCCAAAUGCAUAGCAUCCCAAGCCCCUCCCUUUACACCUUCCUGGUUAUGGGAAUUGUCGUUCAUCAUGUAGCUGUCCCCUGUAGCAAAGCUGGUUGAUCAAUCCAGCCUCCUUCUGCACAUCAAUAUUCUUGACACCCAUCUUAAAACCUUGCUCGUGCGUAUCCAUCUACUGUUGGAAUAGCAUCAGAAGGGGACAGAUAUUGCUAUUUUUAGGGUAGUGUCAAAAGUAUUUAAUCAGCUUCCUGGUGCCUCAUCCCAUUUGUCGUAUUGAUGCUAUCUACCAAAUAAGAGGGCAUGAAGUUCCUUUAGGAGCACAUUGACAGAUGGGUGAAACUCUAUUAGCCCUGGUGAAGAAGGCUGCAGCCCUCGGUAAAGGUGAGUUCUGUGGUUCUUGUGCCUGCCGUUAUAGUCAGGAAGCUCCUGUUGUCACCACCUGACAGAAGGGUGCAUACAGGAGGGUGUUCCACUUCAUGUCAGCAAGGUGGGAUGACCUUGGGGUGGUCUUGUCACUGCCUGGUAUCUGGGGUGCACUGUGAGCCGGGGACAGCUGAUUCCGCAUCAUCCCAUUAUGUGCUGCAAGUGGCAGCAGCACUUCCACACUUUCUGCUGACACCCCAGUACUGUACAGAAGAAUCUCCAGCUGCACCCUUGGCUGUGCUUUGGGCUGAGGUGUCAAGGGUCUGUGUUCUCCAUACGCACCAUGGUGGGUGCUCCUCCUGCUCAGUGAUAAUGCAGCAAAGGAGCAGAUCUUUAAUUCACAGAUAACAUGUUAGUCUGUCUUAAGCACUAGAACUGGGAUGUCUUCUUCACACUGCAGGCUUUUAGAAGGCAAUGUAUUCAAGUUGAAACUUUGCCCAUAUGCCAUCUGUUCCAGCCUUAUCUUUCUUUGACAGGCAGGCUGCAUAUGUAAUGUCCGUUUGGCUUUCAUGGUGUAAUGUGAAGUUUCAGAGGUCCCAAGUAGUUCUUGCGGCAAUCUCUGCUCUUGUUCCUAAGUGACAGACCCUCACCAAGAAUCAUUUCUAGCUUUGUAGCUAUGGUGAGCUUAAGCCACUGCCUUUUUUUCAGGUUGACCACAAGUUCCAUUGGAUGUCUGAGGCCUAUUUGGAGAUAUUCAUGUAUCCUGCAGAUUCUGUAGCCAUUGCGUAGGAAAUCUUAAGGUCUUGCUGGUUUGAUUUCCGCACACUCUGUUUGCUACCAAGGUUGGAGCUGCAAUUCAAAAGACCAGUGUAUAGAUGCCAUUGAUAGCCAAGGCUGCCAAGUCAGGAAAAUGAGUUGUUUCAGUUUUUUUUAGCUGCUUAGGGAGGAUGAUAGUUCUCAGAAAGCUCUGCUUUAGUGAAGACAUUGCUUUGGAGUAGCAGCAGGCUCUGUUUACUCAAAGGGGAAAGAAAAGUGGAACCGUCCUAUGCAAAUGAUGGCAUUUGGAAAUGUCAUAUAGCUGCAUCUACAUAUAAAUAAGCUGCUCUCUGAGCGCUGCAUUAGCAAGGCUACUUUGAUAUAGAAAUUGCAUGAUAGUACACAAAGCGGGAACAGCGGGACACCACUCGGUUACGUUUGAGUUUUGUUCCUAAAUCACCACUUAGCUAACUGCUGUUGCUCUGUCAGCACACAUAGGAGAAACGGCUGAGUUUGCUCUAGGGGAGACGUUUAGUGUUUCUAAGCGCUGCAUGGGGCUGCACAGCAGGGAUGGAGGUGCAGGUCUUGCAUUGGGGAGCUUGCGAAGUGCAGAAAGUCCUCUUUCUGGGACUCACUGGCUUGUACCUGGGAGAUAGCACAUAGGGUUUUGUGGUUCCUGCAUAAUUUUGCUCUUAGCCGCCUUUUGUCUCACUCUGCAGAUCCAUGCCUGUUUGCUGCAGAGGCUACGCAGUUCAGUCAUACAAAGAAGCAACUUCUGCCACUAAAGCAUUCAUAAACAGGGACGGUGUUUUCAUCUCUGUUUAACCUGAUCUUAAAGAGCAAGUUGCAGAUCUCCAGCAGAGUUUUUUAGAGGGGAGGAUGUGCAAAGGGAAGCCAUAGUCCAUUUUUGACCACCUCCAGCAUUGGCAGUACCGAGUACUGGAGGAGAGGUGGAUGGCCAGGAAGGCGAGCCAUCUGCUGGGCCAUCGAGGACCUUCUCACUAAAGCAGUGCAAUCUGUUCUGCCCGUGCUGUGCCACGUGUGAUGGAUGCAGCCUUUGCCUUCGGGCACACAGCCUAAUUGGAGGGAGCCUUACAAAUCUCCAUACUGACACCAACUUUUUUCCCUAACAGAAUGACAAUAAUGAUAAUGUUAACUCAUCCUCUUAAGGGCUCUGUUAUGAGCCACCUAAGGAGAUCAUAGAGGAGGAGAAACACCAUCACUUUAUUCCUUUACAGGCCCAGCUGCUUGGCUGGUUGGUGAGCGGGGAGGGAGCAGCUUCUGUGUGGCCAGCAUUGCCUCUCUGGUGCAGGGGGACCUGAGUGACAGGGACAUCAAUGGCAAGUCAGAGACGGGCUGAGUUAGCACAAUGAGGGAUUUUAUCUAUUUUAGGAAUGGUGUUAGUCAGAUUUAUUCAAUCCUGGAACAAAAGAAGAAAGCCCAAACUGUCAGGUCCCUUCUACCCAGGGUUUUGAUACGUCUACAACAGGGCCUCGUGCCGUUACAUUUCAUCCAUAGAAAUGAUUGCAGGCUCGGAGACCUGCCCUUGCAGUGAUGGUCUUUUAGAAGUCUGGUUUAUCCCCAGAAGUGUGGGGAGGUGCAUUGAGGUCAGCUCACACAGAGACGAUCUGGGGAGCUGAAAGGCCUCCUCAGUUUCAUGGUGAUAACAUAACAGGCCCCUGUGGUGGGUGGCAUGCACCAUGCUGCACCCAACCUGGAACUGUGCAGUGAUGAACCUGAGUGUGGAUGAAUUUUGUAACCUCUGCUUCAACAAGAGGUUAUGUACAGGUCACUUGGUGUCAAGCGGUCUUUUCCAGUAGGGAAGAAACAACCACAAGCGCUACAAGAAGAGGUACUUUUGCAUUUCAGAAGUUCAGGGUUAGCUCUAACGUAUAUGGCAUAGUAGAAACGUAUCUGCUGGCUGGCUUAAAAUAUUAUGUUGUCCAUUUGAAUAUCUGGGGGCUAUUAGUGUCUUAAUUCAUUCACUUCUGUAAUAAAUUAUGGCAGCAUGUUGAAUAAUGAUGAUACACCGUGCAGAAAAGAGGGGACAGUAUUUUUUUUUCCAAGUGUAUUAGAACAUCCUACCAUCAUCUGAAAUGUAAAAAGCACUAGAUUAUUUUUAAAAAGGAAAGUGGAUGUUAGCUUAUUCUGGGAAAGUCAUUUGCAUGGGACAUUUAAAAUUAAUAAAUUGCUGUGUCGAGCAAGUCUAUUUUGUGCCUGAGAAAAGAAGUGAAUGUCAUUUAAUUCAUAAGGUUCCAUUUCUUUUUUCCUCUUGUUGAAGUAGCUAAUGUAGAGAUGGUAUUUUUGUGCUCUUCGUGUAGGCAGAUUAGCCUGAAAUGUGUACUUGGGUGGCUGCAGGAUGCAUUUAGCCCAGGGCUACAGCACGCUGGUGCCAGCCAUCAUCAGCUGACAUUUGGUGUCUCUCCUCCACUGCUUCCAAGGGGAGUGGGCUGGUGAAUCCCCUUUGGAGUGGCAGUGAGCACUUCCUCCUCAGUUUCCAGUCCCAUCGCCUACUCAAGCAGCAGCUGUCAAGCAGAUUGCUUCCAUGUAUUUUCUUCUUUGUGUAGAGACUGUUUGCAAGAUCUCCAGCAACAAGGUGUUAACAACAAAGUACUGCGUCGAGAUAAUUAAUAGGUCAGGGCAUGGUAGCUGCCAAGGAGGAAGUAGGGCUGUGCUGGUGGACUGUAGAGUCAGGAUUUGUCGGGAUGCUCCUUCAUUGCUAGUGAGGAGGAAGCCUGCUGAUGGACCUCUCCCUCACAGUUGCUGUGGGGCCUCAGUUCCUGUUAGGUGCUACCAGAGUGGGGGAAGGUGCCAAAAAACCUGCUAGAGCAGUUCUGAACUUUGGGAUGUGACACUUCUACUUCGUUCCUCCUGACUUUGCGGUAGCAUAUUCUAGUUUCUGCAUGUAGUGCAAGCAUUGCUGGGUUGAGGAAGCUCCCUUUUUUCCAAGAAGAGCAGCAGAUGAGCACCCUGGCCUGUCCCUUGGCUUAUCUGCAGCAUGAGGGUUUCCAUCCCCAGGCAGUCACUCUCGCGAACUUCAUGGCAUCCUUCCUUGGACCUUCAUUUAGAUUUCAGGUAAAAACAGCCUCACCAUGACUGUCAUACAGAUCAGAAGAGCUUUGUUAAGUAAGUUCCCAGUGCUGUGCUCUGCAGCAUCCCUGUGGGAGAGCUUCUAAGGGUGUAGAUGGAGGAAAGAGAUUUCCAAAAGCAGUUGGGAAAAAAAAAACAAAAAACAAGCUUCAUGCCUCUGCUUUGCUGAAGAACUGGAGCUGCCUUGAUUUUGUCGCUUGACAAGUAGGUUCCCAUUGCUGGACAGACUGCUUCAUGGUUGGAGUUUUAGCUUCCACUGAGACCCUCACUGAGAAUCAUCUUGGUGCUCAUUCAGUUUCCAGAGACCUUGGAGAAAAGUCAUACAGUUAAACUGUAAGUUUAAAGAAUAUCUGAAAUAAUUCUUCCAUC
This is a non-coding RNA of Coturnix japonica (Japanese quail), 15700 nucleotides long. Lineage: Eukaryota; Metazoa; Chordata; Aves; Galliformes; Phasianidae. The record is from RefSeq and is a predicted model, not a curated record.